AACUCUUGCCCUCCCCUCUACCCCCUGUAUUACAGGUGAUGGAAACCAGACCUUUGUGCAUGCUAGGCAAGUACUCUACCACUGAGCGCACCCAUCCUCGUCCUGGAGGAGAAGGUGUCCUUGGAGUUGUUGUGGCCAAGUGGAAGACAGCCUGCCUGAGACUGAAGAGGAAAGAGCAGAGCCAAGAGGUGGAGAGGGAGCAAGUCUGAAGAAGUAAGUCCCCAACUUAUGAAUUAGUUCCAUUCUGGGAGAAUAUUCAUAGUUUGAAUUCAUUU
RNAcentral lists this long non-coding RNA (275 nucleotides) under Fukomys damarensis (Damara mole-rat). RNAcentral describes it as "lncRNA (ENSFDAG00000024633.1)". The record is from RNAcentral. Lineage: Eukaryota; Metazoa; Chordata; Mammalia; Rodentia; Bathyergidae.